This 253-nucleotide ribosomal RNA is filed under the name uncultured bacterium. RNAcentral's name for it is "partial 16S ribosomal RNA". It matches the Rfam family "Bacterial small subunit ribosomal RNA", at positions 524 to 776 of the family's 1533-position model. The record is from RNAcentral.
UACGUAGGGUGCGAGCGUUAAUCGGAAUUACUGGGCGUAAAGCGUGCGCAGGCGGUUCGUUAAGUUCGUUGUGAAAGCCCCGGGCUCAACCUGGGAACUGCAAUGGAAACUGGCGGGCUUGAGUGUGGCAGAGGGGGGUGGAAUUCCAGGUGUAGCGGUGAAAUGCGUAGAUAUCUGGAGGAACACCCGUGGCGAAAGCGAGUUACUGGGACAUUACUGACGCUGAGGAACGAAAGCUAGGGGAGCAAAAGGG